Molecule: ribosomal RNA, 253 nt
Filed under: uncultured bacterium
Lineage: Bacteria
Description: partial 16S ribosomal RNA
Rfam family: Bacterial small subunit ribosomal RNA
Source: RNAcentral
UACGGAGGGCGCAAGCGUUGUUCGGAAUCACUGGGCGUAAAGCGCGUGUAGGCGUCUUGGCAAGUCGGAUGUGAAAUCCCGAGGCUCAACCUCGGAACUGCACUCGAAACUGCCUGGCUCGAGUCCCGGAGAGGGUGGCGGAAUUCCCGGUGUAGGGGUGAAAUCCGUAGAUAUCGGGAGGAACACCAGUGGCUAAGGCGGCCACCUGGACGGUGACUGACGCUGUGACGCGAAAGCGUGGGGAGCAAACAGG